Molecule: long non-coding RNA, 1409 nt
Organism: Canis lupus familiaris (dog)
Lineage: Eukaryota; Metazoa; Chordata; Mammalia; Carnivora; Canidae
Exons: 2
Source: RefSeq, a predicted model, not a curated record
AGGUGGGUGACCCAGGCGCGGGCCCCACGCAUGCGUCCUUCUGACCCUUCGCUACAGCCCGGAAGCGCCGCGGCGGCUCUAGUUUGUUCACCCUGCAGGCUUUUUCCUUUAGCAAAAGGAAAAAAAAAAAAGACUCUCUGCCUCAACCCUCAGCUGAGCAGCUUUGCCGGUCGUCGCUGACGCUCGCGACGCUGGGAAUGGGAUCAACUGGUUGGUAGACAGGCGUCGGGCAGCCAAAAAGUCACAUCCUUUAAAAUUUAGAAGCUUUGACUUGGUAGAAGGAAGCUAAGUGCGGCAGGAGCCCUGUCUUUUGUUCCUGGUUGGUCUGGUGUUGCUGGUUUUGCGCGUAGGUCACCGUCCUCCACCCCCUGGUCCCCUAAGUCCCAGGUGAGUGACCGCGGUGGGAGCCCAGCCCGAACCCCGGUGCUUCCGAUCGUCGCCGGGCCUUGAGGCUAGUGUCUCAAAGGCUGGGCUGUCUCGUUUGGAAUAACAAUACGGAGUUGUUUUAAGGAUUGAGUGAGAUCCAGAAAAUACCUGUCAAGCGCAGACUAGACUCUGUUGCCUGCAGAGAAAUUUUAACGUUUCAUGAAUGUUAGCUGCUGUUACCAUCAUGGUCACCGCAUACCUGGGAAGGAAGGACGGAAGGAAGGAAUGGAAUUUUAUUUCUCUUUGGGCAGGACCGGUUUGUUUCGCUGGUGGAAUAUGAAGAUACGUGAAAGUAAGAAAUACAAGUCAAAAUAAUACACAAUUUUUUUUUUGAAGAUUUAAAGUUACUACAGCUAAGUCUUCACAAUGUUGGUGAACAUGCAAUCUCAUAACAUGUAUUAAGACUAUUAAAAUUUGGGGGCACCUAAAAAAAAUUGGGGUGGGGGCACCUGGCUGGCUGAAUAGAAGCAAGAUGGGACUCGAUUUCAAGGUCCUGAGUUACAGAGCCACCUUGGGUGUAAAGAUUACUAAAAAUAAAUUAAAUAAACUAAUUUUUGGGACUUUAAUUUUCUCAUCCUUUGGUGCAGCAAUCUUACCCUUUGGAAUUUAUCUUAAAACUAAUGAGAACUCUAAAAAAGAUUUAUGUACAAAGUGUGUUCAUUUAACCUAAAUGCCCAACAAUGGGGCAUUGAUCAAAUCAUUUUCAACCCCUCUUGUUUAGCCAAAUCUUCCGAAGGUGAAGGAAGAGGGCAGGGAAUGGCGUCUUCCACUAACAUUAUUUGAGUUUUCAAAAUAAAUAGCUUGGUUUCAACAAAUCAUAAUCUUGGGGACCCUCCGCCUCCCAAUGGAAAACAGAGAUACACAACAGUAUUUUGUAUACAUUUUCAAAGAGUUCAAAGUUUUUCUUGAAGUCUGUCCAUUAAGACUAGAGUAAAAACCCUAGCUGUAAAAUAAUUAAGGAUGGCAAAAAAAAAAAAAAAAAA